Molecule: long non-coding RNA, 808 nt
Filed under: Anser brachyrhynchus (Pink-footed goose)
Lineage: Eukaryota; Metazoa; Chordata; Aves; Anseriformes; Anatidae
Description: lncRNA (ENSABRG00000004136.1)
Source: RNAcentral
AUGAAUUCUCUAGCCAUCAUCUCUCCUCAAACCUCAGCUGUGGGAAAAAUCCCAUGGGGAAAAAGGAAACCCAGCUUUGAGAGCAUCUGGAAUGUGUCUUACAGCUCUGAAAUUUUGGGAUGGUGCCUGCAGGACCUGGAGGUUUGGCACAACCCUACAGGUGUCUUGGUCUGGUUGCACCAUGGAUCGCUGUUUCAGGCUAGCUGCGUCCCAGGGCAGAUUUUUGUUCCCUGCUUCUGUUUGUUUAUAACAGCCUCCAAGACUGCUGCAGAGCCAAGGAAUGACUGGCUGUUUUCUCAAUCUCAAAUAUUGGCUUGGAAGGAAUGGGUUCAUCAUUAGCUCGAGCACUCUUUAACUCGCUUGCUAACAGGAAUGCUGCUGUUUCCCUGCUCUCUGAUAUCAAUUGUAAUAGCAGGCAUACAAUGUCACCUUUUUCUUCCAGGCUCAUCCAGCUAGAUUAGGAUAAACCAGUAUGUACAAAGGCAUCCAGUCCUGAUGCAAAUAUAAUUCAAGGGAUGAGUAUUAAGUCUCACACUCUGUUCAGAUUUUUUCUUUUUUUCACUGUAGAAACUGGGAAAUUAUUUCCGUAUCUUAGUUUCUUUGUGUCAGCUUUCCAACAUUAGGUUUUAAAAAAGUUUUUCCUAAAGUUAAAGAUGUUCUCCUACUAUAAAUCCUAUGUCAGCCACAAAUACACCAACUAUUUUUCACUUGCUGAGUUGAGCCUCCUUCAUGAAGAUCACUUCUGGAACAAUGUGACGGAUUAUGAGUUAUAGUGAGGAAGCCUAAAAUAAAUUCUAAUUAAAGUGCA